Molecule: ribosomal RNA, 448 nt
Filed under: uncultured bacterium
Lineage: Bacteria
Description: bacterial SSU rRNA
Rfam family: Bacterial small subunit ribosomal RNA
Source: RNAcentral
UGCCAGACUCCUACGGGAGGCAGCAGUGGGGAAUAUUGCACAAUGGGGGAAACCCUGAUGCAGCGACGCCGCGUGAGCGAUGAAGUAUUUCGGUAUGUAAAGCUCUAUCAGCAGGGAAGAAGAUGACGGUACCUGACUAAGAAGCCCCGGCUAACUACGUGCCAGCAGCCGCGGUAAUACGUAGGGGGCAAGCGUUAUCCGGAUUUACUGGGUGUAAAGGGAGCGUAGACGGCGAUGCAAGCCAGAUGUGAAAGCCCGGGGCUCAACCCCGGGACUGCAUUUGGAACUGUGUGGCUGGAGUGUCGGAGAGGCGGGCGGAAUUCCUAGUGUAGCGGUGAAAUGCGUAGAUAUUAGGAGGAACACCAGUGGCGAAGGCGGCCUGCUGGACGAUGACUGACGUUGAGGCUCGAAAGCGUGGGGAGCAAACAGGAUUAGAUACCCGGGUAUG